Molecule: long non-coding RNA, 2940 nt
Organism: Monomorium pharaonis (pharaoh ant)
Lineage: Eukaryota; Metazoa; Arthropoda; Insecta; Hymenoptera; Formicidae
Exons: 2
Source: RefSeq, a predicted model, not a curated record
UUUACUUUUUUAAAAUUUUUUUCCACUCAACAUACAGAACAAAAAAUGUAUUUGCAACAUGCGAGUUGCAUUUAUAAUAUGUUCAUGGUGCAAGAAACAUUUAGGUUUCCAAUGAUUUUCUGUAAAUUUCCACCCACAACAACGUUAUACAAGAAUGUUAGAACCUUAUAAUAAAUAAAAAUGUAUUUUUUAUUAUAUUUAAUAACAUUAUAGAAAUUUAAUAAAACCGCAAGAAAAUAUUUUUUAUUUUAAAGAAUAAAAAAAUAAAUUUAAUUGGCAUAUAAACUAAAAAAUGAAAUUGUCACAACUGGCCUUGAACCCAGCUCGCACGAAUAACAAAACAGUAGAUGCGCACUUAGCACCCGCGGCCAUCGCGUUUCAUGCCGAAAAGUGGCUUUUCUUACCGGCCAAAAUGCACAUAUUUAGAUGCAAUUUUCUCAGAAACUAAGGCCCAUUCACCCAAAAACCAAAACACUGUUUUUGUUUUUUCAACUCUCCUUUUGAAUGCUCUAUGGCUCAUUCAAAAGUAGAGUUAGCAGAUGUUGGCAUCUUCUUGUAAGAUCUGUAAAAUACAAUUCUGGUAGAAAUUCUGUAUCAUUUUACUUAUUUAAGCUCAUUUUUUGUCGUUUAAUAUGUAGCAUCUCAAAAAUAAGUAUUUUUUUAAUAAGACGGUUCUUUGCCUAAAAUUUUGAAAUGCUCCCAGUCAAAUUCACAAUUCUAAUCUAUGAUUACAAAUAACCUAUAAUAAACCAUAUUUUUUUAUUAAUAUCUUUUAUUUUCUUCUUCUUCUUCUUCUUUACGAAAAUCUUGAAGGCUUGUUUCACCAAUUUUGAUUCUUCUCUUGGGAUAUACAGAGUGUCUCAAAAUAUACUGGUCAACGCUCGUUGAUAAAAAGGUAGAAGGAUCGAGAUGAACGUAAAAGUCUAAUAUUGUCUUAAGUUAGAUCUUGGGUUAGAUCCACCAAUAAUCGAGGUAUUAAUUUUUCAAAUUAUGCAAAUAAGAGCGCGCCGAGAGAAGAACUCGAUCCGCUCAAGCCAUAACACGGAAGAAAAAAUCUAUCGUGAAUGUAUUAUAAGCUUUCAUUAAUUUACUGUUCACGAUUACGAUAGAAAUUAAUUAAAUUAUUUGCCGAUUCCAUACGUUAAUAUCUCGAUUAUUAGUGGACCAAGAGAAUAUUAGACUUUUAUAUUCAUCUCGAUCCCUUUUACCUGUGCGCGAUGGAAUGAGCGCGUGUGAGAAGAGGCGAGAAACUCGAAUGAACGAGAGGGGGAGCGGCAACAAUCACUUUUCUAAAAACUAUUCUUUAUUACAAAUGUACAAAGUUAACAGGACAAACACUUAUGCCGCGAGAUUAAUUCGCGCGAGAAGCGAAGCGGUCACGAAGGGCGAUGCGAUCGCGAUAGAUUCUUACGGCAGAAUGAACGGAACAGGGCGCGAAAAAGACAAAAGAAAACGAGGUGGCAAUGAAGAGAGCUCGGAGCAUCUCUCCGUUGCCAGGUAACUCAAAAACGUGCUGAUAACAAUUCCUUAUUAGGCAAGCCGUGCUGAUUACAAUUCCUUAUUAGGCAAGCCUGCACGAUUCCCGGACUUUCCAAAAACAAAGACCUAUGUGAGGUCACGGCCACCGUCGAGUUAAGCCCCGUGCAUAAUAAUUCCGGUCCCGAACAUUAAUUCCGAUCCCAAACAUACCUUUUUACGAGCGUUGACCAGUAUGUUUUGGGACACCCUGUAUAUAUUUAACAUAAAUUAAGGAAUUAAAAAUAAUUUGCAUUUAAUAAUAAAAAUCAACUCAAAAUAAAAAAAAAGUAAAUUUAUGGAAUAAAACAUAUAUUUAAAUUGAAAUAAAAUAUUUUAUUUGGCGGAACUCAUACAGAAUACCGACAUUUGUCAUAAGGCUAAGGAAAAAUGCCCAAAAAUCUUACCAGUAUUUAUCAAAUAAAAUACAAUAUUUAUAAAUUAUUCUAUUUAAUGCGAGAAAAUCUACAUGUGUGUUUAAUAUAAAAAAUGUGUUAACGUUUUUUUACAUUUACAAAAAAAAAUUGUAUGGGGACCAAAGAUCUCCUUCCUAUUACUAAUGGACACUUUAUUAAAGCCUCACGUGACGCACCUGCGCGAGAACAACCGUCCGUCUAUCCAUCCAUCAACACUGAUGCUAAAUUUAUUCGCCCAUGUGCAAAAUGAAUUGCAUAUAUACAUCCGUAUACAUGUAUAUAAACCAAAAGCUGCUUUUUCAGCUCGUAAUUGGUAAUGUGAACGAGUAUAUUGGAUAGUGUAUUGUCACAAGUAUUGUUCUUUCGUGAACAUAAUGCUGCAAUUUAAUCCAUAAUGUGAUAUUUUUACUCGCUAUAUCUUUCAAUAGUUUGGAUUAUCCGAAUACUCCGACAACUUCGCAAAAAAGACGAGUGAAUGUAAAAAUUGAACGUAUGCUAUUAAAAAUAAAAAAUGAAGAACAAUUUCAAUUAGAAGAGACAGAAACUUUAGAUUUUUAUGAUGAGUAUAAGAUCCCAGAAGCGGAAAAAGUUUAUUUAUUAGAGGUGGAUGAAAAAAAAUCUAUUUUUCAGAAGAAGUUAUUUGUGAUUUAGUUGAAGAAACAAUAUCAACUGACUAUAAGAGGCAAGCUGUGGAAUACUGGAAAAGUAGUAAGACAAAAACAAGAUCGCUUGAAGGAGUUAAGCAAAAAUUUAGAAAAGUUACAUCAAUACGACAAUUACGACGAUGGGAAAACUAUUUCAUCCAAGGUAGUAGAAGGCCAGAAAAAUUUAAAAAAUUUCUAAAUACACAUUAGACCAUUUUCAUGAAACAUUUGAAAGAAAAAUCAUCAUUUAUGACAUUGACAUCGCUCGAUGGACUUCUCAAACACAAAAUGAAGAAAAUGUGGUAGGAUUCAAAGCUCAGAGGAAUGGGUACAAAGAUUUAAGAAAACACAUAAUAUUGUGUCUA